UUUCCGUAGGUGAACCUGCGGAAGGAUCAUUAAUGAGUUGUCAUGGGGUUCGAUGCUGGCAGCCAAUUUUUGGAUGCAUGUGCUUGCCCUAACAAUCAUCUUCCAAACACCUGUGCACAUUUUUGAGGGAGACUUGAGUUGGUUGCCGCUCUUGGGUGAUUUUCUCACAUUCCCUUAAAUCAUUAUACGCUAUUAACAAUGUUGAACGUGCUCUGUGCCGCAAGGCCAUUAAUAUAAUACAACUUUUAACAACGGAUCUCUUGGCUCUC
Molecule: unclassified non-coding RNA, 269 nt
Filed under: plant metagenome
Description: partial contains small subunit ribosomal RNA, internal transcribed spacer 1, and 5.8S ribosomal RNA
Source: RNAcentral